GAUGAAGAACGUAGCGAAAUGCGAUAAGUAAUGUGAAUUGCAGAAUUCAGUGAAUCAUCGAAUCUUUGAACGCACCUUGCGCUCUUUGGUAUUCCGAAGAGCAUGCCUGUUUGAGUGUCAUGAAAAUAUCAACCUUGACUUGGGUUUUGUGCUCUAGUCUCGGCUUGGAAUUGGGUGCUUGCCGCUUUUACGAGCGGCUCACCUUAAAUGUAUUAGCUGGAUCUGUCUUUGAGACUUGGUUUGACUUGGCGUAAUAAGUAUUUCGCUAAGGACAUUCUUCGGAGUGGCCUCGUUUCUAGGACGCUUGUCCGCUUUCCAAUACGAGUUCCACCUCGUGGACAUGACUUUUUAUUAUCUGGCCUCAAAUCAGGAAGGACUACCCGCUGAACUUAAGCAUAUCAAUAAGCGGAGGA
RNAcentral lists this unclassified non-coding RNA (413 nucleotides) under soil metagenome. RNAcentral describes it as "partial contains 5.8S ribosomal RNA, internal transcribed spacer 2, and large subunit ribosomal RNA". The stretch from base 1 to 120 matches the Rfam family "5.8S ribosomal RNA", at positions 35 to 154 of the family's 154-position model. The record is from RNAcentral.